Long non-coding RNA from Sinocyclocheilus grahami, 542 nucleotides. RefSeq lists it as uncharacterized. The transcript has 3 exons. NCBI's taxonomy places the organism in Eukaryota, Metazoa, Chordata, Actinopteri, Cypriniformes, Cyprinidae. The record is from RefSeq and is a predicted model, not a curated record.
UGUAACAGAUGUGUGAAAAACAUUUCGCUGUCUGACAUGUAAAUAGAUUGUGCUUUUGAUAGGAACAACAAUAUUGUAGGAAGCCACUGGUCUCUGAGCAGCUCCGAGACAGAGAUAUGCUAUUCCAUGAUGUCAUAUUUGCUGCUGUCUUCUUUGCUUUUUACUCCUCAGGAAAGGCUCACACUCAAAACUGGGUAAAGCAGUGGCCAGGUGAGGUGUACAGCACACCCGGAGAAAACAUCACCAUACACUGCCAGGCUCAUGGAGACAUUCAGGAAGCUAAGUGUUUAGUAAACUGGUACAUCAAGAACAGACAUGGGAAAUAUGUCAGCAUUAACAAACUAGCUCAGUUUAGUGGGAGACAUUCUGAAGACAAAAAAGAAAGCCACUGGCGCCAGAGCUUUACCCUGACGUCCCUAGAGCUCAACGACACUGGCAGAUUCUACUGUAAUUACUUGUGCAGAAUUAAUGGCACACAUGAGCAGUACUAUGGGACUGGGACUCGACUUUUUGUACAUUUUAGGACUGAAAAUGUGACUAAA